UAUCAAUCCUCUCAUUUCUUGAUAACAAUAUACAUAAUUUAGCAAAACAAGAACACUAAUAACACUAUCAAUCUUCUCAUUUCUUGAUAACAAUAUACAAAAUUUAGAAAAACAAGAACACUAAUAACACUAUCAAUCUUCACAUUUCUUGAUAACAAUAUACAUAAUUUAGCAAAACAAGAACAAUAAUAACACUCUCAGUCCUCUUUUUUCUUGAUAAUAAUAUACAAAAUUUAACAAAAGAAGAACACUAAUAACACUAUCAAUCUUCUGAUUUCUUGAUAACACUAUACAAAAUUUAGCAAAACAAGAACACUAAUAACACUGUCAAUCUUCUCAUUUCUUGAUAACAAUAUACAAAAUUUAGCAAAACAAGAACACUAUUAAUCUUCUCAUUUUUUGAUAACAAUUUACAAAAUUUAGCAAAACAAGAACACUAAUAACACUAUCCAUCCUCUCAUUUCUUGAUAACAAUAUACAAAAUUCAGCAAAACAAGAACCCUAAUAACACUAUCAAUCUUCUCAUUUCUUGAUAACAAAAUUUAGCACAAACAAGAACACUAAUAAACACUAUCAAUCUUUCUUGAUAACAAUAUACAAAAUUCAGCAAAACAAGAACACUAAUAACACUAUCAAUCUUCUCAUUUCUUGAUAACAAUAUACAAAAUUCAGCAAAACAAGAACACUAAUAACACUAUCAAUCCUGUCAUUUCUUGAUAACAAUAUACAAAAUUUAGCAAACCAAGAACAUUAAUAACAUUAUCAAUCUUCUCAUUUCUUGAUAACAAUAUACAAAAUUUAGCAAAAUAAGAACACUAAUAACACUAUCAAUCUUCUUAUUUCUUGAUAACAAUAUACAAAAUUUAGCAAAGCAAGAACACUAAUAACACUAUCAAUCUUCUCAUUUCUUGAUAACAAAAUAGAAAAUUUAGCAAAACAAGAACACUAAUAACAAUAUCAAUCCUCUCAUUUCUUGAUAACAAUAUACAUAAUUUAGCUAAACAAGAACACUAUCAAUCUUCUCAUUUCUUGAUAACAAUAUACAAAAUUUAGCAAAACAAGAACACUAAUAACACUAUCAAUCCUCUCAUUUCUUAAUAACAAUAUACAAAAUUCAGCAAAACAAGAACCCUAAUAACACUAUCAAUCUUCUCAUUUCUUGAUAACAAUAUACAAAAUUCAGCAAAACAAGAACACUAAUAACACUAUCAAUCCUCUCAUUUCUUGAUAACAAUAUAAAAAGUUUAGCAAACAAGAACACAAUAACACUAUCAAUCUUCUCAUUUCUUAAUACAAAUAUAGAAAAUUUAGCAAAACAAGAACACUAAUAACACUAAUCAAUCUCUCUCUUUCUUAGAUAACAAUAUACACAAAUUUUAGCAAAACAAGAACACUAAUAACAUUAUCAAUCUUCUCAUUUCUGAUAACAAUUAGACAAAUUUAGCAAAACAAGAACACUAUAUAACACUAUCAAUCUUUCUCAUUUCUUGAUAACAAUAUACAAAAUUAUAAAAACAGAAACACUAAUAACACUAUCAAUCUUCUCAUUUCUUGAUAACAAUAUAACAAAAUUUAGCAAAACAAGAACACUAAUAACACUAUCAAUCUUCUCAUUUCUUGAUAAAAAUAGCAAAAUUAGCAAAACAAGACACUAUAACAACUAUCAAUCUUCUCAUUUCUUAAUAACAAUAUACAAAUUUAGCAAAAAGAACACUAAUAACACUAUCAAUCUUUCCAUUUCUUGAUAACAAUAUACAAAAUUGCAAAACAAGAACACUAAUAACACUCAAUUCUUCUCAUUUCUUGAUAACAAUAUACAAAAUUUAGCAAAACAAGAACACUAUCAAUCUUCUCAUUUCUUGAUAACAAUAUACAAAAUUUAGCAAACAAGAAACACUAAUAACACUAUCAUCUCUCAUUUCUUGAUAACAAUAUACAAAAUUCAGCAAAACAAGAACCUAAUAACAUAUCAAUCUUCUCAUUUCUUGAUAACAAUAUACAAAAUUCAGCAAAACAAGAACAUAAUAACUAUCAAUCCUCUCAUUCUUGACAACAAUAUACAAAAUUAAGGCAAAACAAGAACAUUAAUAACAUUAUCAAUCUUCUCAUUUCUUGAUAACAAUAUACAAAAUUUAGCGAAACAAGAACACUAAUAACACUAUCAAUCUUCUCUUUUUUCUUAAUAACAAUAUACAAAAUUUAGCAAAACAAGAACACUAAUAACACUAUCAAUCUUCUCAUUUCUUGAUAACAAUAUACAAAAUUUAGCAAAAACAAGAACACUAAUAAACACAUCAAUCUUCUCAUUUCUUGAUAACAAUAUACAAAAUUUAGCAAAGCAAAGAACACUAAUAACACUAUCAAUCUUCUCAUUCUUGAAUAACAAAAUAGAAAAUUUAGGCAAAACAAGAACACUAAUAACAUCAAUCCUUCAUUUCUUGAUAACAAUAUACAAAUUUAGCAAAACAAACACUAAUAACAUAUCAACCUCAUUUCUUGAUAACAAUAUACAAAAUUUGCAAAACAAGAACACUAUAUUAACACUAUCAAUUUCUCAUUUCUUAAUAACAAUAUACAAAAUUUAGCAAAAAAAACAAAACAUAAUAACACUAUCAAUCUCUCAUUUCUUGAUAACAUAUACAAAAUUUGGCAAAACAAGAACACUAAUAACACUAUCAAUGCUUCUUCAUUUCUUGAUAACAAAUAUACAAAUUUAAAAACAAGAACACUAUAACAACUAUCAAUCUUCUCAUUUCUUGAUAACAAUAUACAAAAUUUAGCAAAACAAGAAACUAAUAACACUAUCAAUCUUCUCAUUUCUUGAUAACAAUAUCAAAAUUUAGCAAAACAAGAACACUAUAACACUAUCAAUCUUCUCAUUUCUUAAUAACAAUAUACAAAAUUUAGCAAAACAAGAACACUAAUAACACUAUCAAUCUCUCAUUUCUUGAUAACAAUAUACAAAAUUUAGCAAAACAAGAACACUAAUAACACUUCAAUCUUCUCAUUUCUUGAUAACAAUAUACAAAAUUUAGCAAACAAGAACACUAAAACACUAUCAAUCUUCUCAUUUCUUGAUAACAAUAUAAAUUUAGCAAAACAAGAACACUAAUAACAACAUCUCAUCCUCUAUUUCUGAUAACAAUAUACAAAAUUCAGCAAACAAGAACCCUAAUAACACUAUCAAUCUUCUCAUUUCUUGAUAACAAUAUACAAAAUUCAGAAACAAGAACACUAAUAACACUAUCAAUCUUCUCAUUUCUUGAUAACAAUAUAAAAUUUAGCAAAAACAAGAACAUUAAUAACAUUAUCAUCUUCUCAUUUCUUGAUACAAUAUACAAAAUUUAGCAAAAAAGAACACUAAUAACACUAUCAAUCUUCUCAUUUCUUGAUAACAAUAUACAAAAUUUAGCAAACAAGAAACUAAAACACUAAUAAUCUCUCAUUUCUUGAUAACAAUAUACAAAAAUUAUAGAAAACAAGAACACUAUCAAUCUUCCUCAUUUUUUGAUAACAAUAUCAAAAUUUAGCAAAACAGAACACUAAAACACUAUCUCUUCUCAUUUCUUGAUAACAAUAUACAAUUCGCAAAACAAGAACACUAAUAACACUAUCAAUCUUCUCAUUUCUUGAUAACAAUAUACAAAAUUUAGCAAAACAAGAACACUAAUAACACUAUCAAUCCUCUCAUUUCUUGACAACAAUAUACAAAAUUUAGCAAAACAAGAACAUUAAUAA
This 3738-nucleotide long non-coding RNA is filed under the name Lathyrus oleraceus (garden pea). Its description in RNAcentral is "Pisum sativum (pea) long non-coding RNA (PSAT_LNC040039)". Lineage: Eukaryota; Viridiplantae; Streptophyta; Magnoliopsida; Fabales; Fabaceae. The record is from RNAcentral.